UAUUAAUAAAAUUAUUUUGAAUUUUAUAAUGCGUAUUGGCGUAUCCGUAUCGUGUCAUAUCCGAAUUACGUAUCCGUAUCCAUGCUUCUUAGUCAUUGACUUGUUGAGCUGGUCCGUUUGCUAGGUCAAUUAGUGGUCUAGGUCUGUUAACUAUGCUUUUAAGGGGCAAUGUAAUCUCACAUUAGUGAAGCAGACUUCACAAUACAAGUGAAGCUCUUGUUUUGCAAUAUUGAGCCAUUUUGAGUAAAAAUAGGUGGUGGAUGCAAGAGUUGUUAGAAUAGGGUAGAUGAAAGGUGUUUGUGACUUCGAAAAAUGCUUUGAGAAAUUUCAUACUUUGUUUCGCUUUCUCUUUGAAGAUAGAUAUUGUUCAUAGUUGCCUUCUCUUUGAAGAUUAAUUUUUGUUUAUUGCUUAUUCACCUUUCGGUGGGAUUUGCUUCAAGAUCAAGAAUAGUGGUGUUCAAUUUGCAUGAGCCAGGUUGCAGUGUGCAGUAUGUACACCUUUGUUGCUUGGUCUCUAGGUAUGGGUGGAGAGGAUGGAUCUGAAUCCACAUGUGGGGGAAUAUAGGAGUAUCAAGAGUAACUUUUUGUUGAAGUAUACAUCUGGGAUAGAUUAGCAAUAAUUACGUGUUCCUUAAUGAACUUGCAAGUUGAGAUAUGCACUUCAUGACAAUUGGGGAAAUGGAUUCAAUGCAGUCUCAAAAGCUCGAUUAGAUUGAUAUUUUUUAAUUUGCUUCAGGCAAAAUGGGUAAGAUCUCGAAUUAGUUAGAACUUUUCAUGUUGAGUGGAAGGUAAUUGCAAUGUUUACUGGAAUCAAAUAUUCAGAUAUAAAAGUAAAUAAUGGGCCAACAGGGGAAUUGCAUAUUUUGUUUUGUUUACAGAAUUAAUGACAUUGUUACCAAAAGCAAAUUCAUAAAAUUUGGGGCGACAUGAUUGCGGACCAUUUUUGAAGGGAACUUAAAAAAAUGAUUGUUAAGCUCUAUAUCCAGCUAAGUUUCUCUAUUGACAGUGCAUAAAAUUGCAUUUAUCUCUCUUUAGAUGUUGAAAAACUAUAAUUAUUAAUUAUUAUCUCAUGGAAUGAAUCAUUUGAUGUAAUUUUUACGUUAUAGUAGUAGUAACGGUUAACGCUUGAUUUAUGUGUUCUCUUUUCAAUUUGUGCAUAUUUGUAUGGAUAUCUCACUACUUGAAACCCUAGACCUCCCAGAAAAUUUUAUAAUUGAUAGGUAAAAAAAAGAAACUUCAAAAAGAAAAUGAAAUAGAAUAAACCAUGAUAUGAAAAUAUUACUUGCUUCCUCUAUUUCUGAAUUGACAUGGUUUUUAUAUGUAUUUUGUAGUGUGUGGCCUCUCACCCGGACACAAGAAUGUCGUUUCUUAAUGGUACGAUAUUAUUUUUGAUAUUUAUAUAUUUCAUUUUCAAAGAUUUGAACUUCAAGAAAAUUGGCUUUCUUAUGCUGUUUUUGUAGAGUGUAGGAGAUGUUGGUUUUUUACAUUAAGGGUGU
This 1496-nucleotide long non-coding RNA is filed under the name Olea europaea (common olive). RNAcentral's name for it is "long non-coding RNA (OEUR_LNC012010)". The record is from RNAcentral. Lineage: Eukaryota; Viridiplantae; Streptophyta; Magnoliopsida; Lamiales; Oleaceae.